GGAGGUUGCCUGGCAGUCAGUUUUGAUGACCAGGCCUAGGAGCCACUCUCAAAUCCAAUUCUCCCUACUUUUGAACCGAUUCAGAAGACUCGGAGACCUUGGAACAAAUAAUUCUUGUCCUAAAUUGGAAACCAUAAAUCUGAGUAUCUUCAAGCAGGAGUGAAAACAUCAUGGCUAAGUCUUCAUAUCACUGAUACUUGCGGGAGUUCCCGAUCUGGCUGAACCACUGGAGAGAAGACGGUUCCCUUGAGAAAUAGCCAGCACUGUCUGCCAGUUAGAUGGGAAAAGUUAGA
RNAcentral lists this long non-coding RNA (293 nucleotides) under Homo sapiens (human). RNAcentral describes it as "HSALNT0252752". Lineage: Eukaryota; Metazoa; Chordata; Mammalia; Primates; Hominidae. The record is from RNAcentral.